RNAcentral lists this long non-coding RNA (1898 nucleotides) under Mus spicilegus (steppe mouse). RNAcentral describes it as "lncRNA (ENSMSIG00000003315.1)". Lineage: Eukaryota; Metazoa; Chordata; Mammalia; Rodentia; Muridae. The record is from RNAcentral.
AAACAGAAGAAUCCAGAGGGGAGGGACCCUAGAUACAGACACCCCAAAGAUGGAACUUGAAGUGAUCUUCCUUCGAAGCAUGGUGGCUGGGGUCACUCUGAGUAGCAUAUUUCUGGCUGUCCUGGGACUCACUUUGGAGCCAAGUUUUUGGCCUUGGAACCUACAGAGAUCCUCCAGCCUUGGCUGAAAGGCUGGGAUUAAAGCCACCACACUCUGUUCAUUGCCGUUUCCAAAAGAAAGUAAUCUAUAGGUGUGGUGAGGGUGGUGCAGAGACCAGUCGGUACCCACAGGGCUGAUCCCUCCCGCCCUGCACAGAAGGGCAGUUCUGGGCUUUUGUGUAUCUGAGUGACCUUGGCCUACAGCUGCCCUGCAGGUUGAUGUAAGGGACCAUGGCCAGGACUGCCUCUUUCCCCUGAACAGCCCCUACUUAAUCCAGGGCUCUUUUCUUUGCAAAGACACCUUCCUCAAACUGGUUGGCAGCCUGGAAGCUGCCCUGUGAGCCUCCCUAAGAAGAAACAACAUAAAAUUUACAAAAAAAAAAAAAAAAAAAAAAAAAAAAAGACAAAAACUUUUCCUGUCAACGUAACUAGCUAGGGUAAUAAGAAAUGCCGGUUAGGUUACACACACUGAAUUCACCUUAGUGUAAGCAGGCUUUGGCUACGGAAUCAAUUCCUACAGAGCACAGUAGAGACCCAAGGGCCCAGCCACCCUUAUCGUCCACUGCCCUCCUCCCCAUAGCUCCAUGUCCGCUCUCUUUUCCCUGACAUCCCGAGGGUCUCGGGAUCACGAGAUGUUGCAUCUAGCCCGAGUGUGCCCAUGCCGUUUUCCACCCAUGAGCUUCGCCCACGCCACGAACACAGCAUGGUCUCCCUGUUGUGCAAUGAGCACCCGGAUUCCUCAAGCGGUCGCUGGGCUUAAUGGCCCAGCCGCAGCCCUUCCCAACCCGGAGGCAGGAGAUCGUGUGGAUUCCAUGGCCUCACGGAUGCCUGGCCAGUGUUCUACCACAGAGCUGUCUUUUCAUCAAGCAAGCAUGGGAGAUUCUUGGGGCUCUUAUAAGUGGUAGGAUUCUGAUCCAGUGAUCUGGGUGGAGGCUGAGAGUCUUUGUUCCGUUGAGACUCCCAGGCAGGGUUGAUGGAUCUGUGAAGACCACACUUUGAGAGACACGGCUCUGGGUUUGCAGAAGCAUAAAUGUCAGCUGAUGGGUCUGUUGACAGUGACUCAGCACAGGAGUAUGCAGACAUUAAAUAAGCCCAAGGACUGGAUUGUAUAGAUUUCAGCUCGAAGCAGCAGAGGUUGAAACCAACGGCCACGUUCCCCAGCACUACCAGAAAUCCUUCUGGAUGUACUCUUGGGCCAAGCAGUGUGGACACAGUGAUCUAUCCAGGCUCUCUGCCUCAGCCCUUGCUGCUUUAAGUAUCAUCAUCUCAGGGGCUGAGGGUGUGGCUCCUCGGCUAAGAGUAUUUGCCUAGCAUGUGGGAAGAUUUCAAGAACUACUUAAAGUAUGUCUGGCGGUGCUCACCCGUGAUCCUAGCACUCAGGAGGUGGAGGCAGGAGGAUUAAGAAGUUGAAGGUCAACCUUGGCUACAUAGUGAUUUUUGAGGCUAGCCUGAGCUAUGAGAAACACAAAAUACCCUAUUGUCUCGUAUUUGGCCCAUGGAGAGCUAUCACAUAGUUCUCAACUCCCCUCAGAAUUUGGUCCCCGGGGGCUGGUGAGAUGGCUCAGUGGGUAAGAGCACCCUACUGUUCUUCCGAAGGUCCAGAGUUCAAAUCCCAGCAACCACAUGGUGGCUCACAGCCAUCUGUAACAAGAUCUGACUCCCUCUUCUGGAGUGUCUGAAGACAGCUACAGUGUACUUACAUAUAAUAAAUAAAUAAAUCUUUAAAAAAAAAAAAAGAAU